AUUGAACGCUGGCGGCAUGCCUUACACAUGCAAGUCGAACGACCUCACGGGAAGGCUUGCUUUCCUGUCGUCGCGUGGCACACGGGAGUGUAACACAGCUGAACUUACCAGCUGGCGGGGGUUAAUUCGUCGAAACACGGGCUAAUACCGCAUACGCUCUUCGCAGGAUAGCACAGGACCUUUGGGCCUUGUGCUAGUCGAGCGGCCGGUGUCCGAUUAGCUAGUUGGUAGGGUAAAGGCCUACCAAGGCGACGAUCGGUAGCGGGUCUGAGAGGUCGAUCCGCCACACUGGGACUGAGACACGGCCCAGACUCCUACGGGAGGCAGCAGUGGGGAAUCUUGGACAAUGGGGGAAACCCUGACCCAGCAAUGCCGCGUGGGUGAAGAAGGUCUUCGGGUUGUAAAGCCCUUUCGGCAGGGAAGAAAACGGCGGGGCGAAUAACCGUGCUGGAUGACGGUACCUGCAGAAGAAGCACCGGCUAACUACGUG
RNAcentral lists this ribosomal RNA (490 nucleotides) under uncultured bacterium. Its description in RNAcentral is "partial 16S ribosomal RNA". It matches the Rfam family "Bacterial small subunit ribosomal RNA", at positions 30 to 507 of the family's 1533-position model. The record is from RNAcentral.